UGGGGAAUAUUGGGCAAUGGGGGCAACCCUGACCCAGCAACGCCGCGUGAAGGAAGAAGGCUUUCGGGUUGUAAACUUCUUUGACGAGGGACGAAGAAAUGACGGUACCUCGAAAACAAGCCACGGCUAACUACGUGCCAGCAGCCGCGGUAAUACGUAGGUGGCAAGCGUUGUCCGGAUUUACUGGGUGUAAAGGGCGUGUAGGCGGGCUGUCAAGUCAGAUGUGAAAUCUAUGGGCUUAACCCAUAACGUGCAUUUGAAACUGAUAGUCUUGAGUGAUGGAGAGGCAGGCGGAAUUCCUAGUGUAGCGGUGAAAUGCGUAGAUAUUAGGAGGAACACCAGUGGCGAAGGCGGCCUGCUGGACAUUAACUGACGCUGAGGCGCGAAAGCGUGGGGAGCAAACAGG
Molecule: ribosomal RNA, 406 nt
Filed under: uncultured prokaryote
Also listed under: 1 other name
Description: bacterial SSU rRNA
Rfam family: Bacterial small subunit ribosomal RNA
Source: RNAcentral